RNAcentral lists this long non-coding RNA (1050 nucleotides) under Trifolium pratense (red clover). RNAcentral describes it as "long non-coding RNA (TPRA_LNC006840)". Lineage: Eukaryota; Viridiplantae; Streptophyta; Magnoliopsida; Fabales; Fabaceae. The record is from RNAcentral.
GGUCUUGAACCAAGGUGUAUCGUACACAAAUGUAAAUGUGUUUAAUUAAUGUUGGAUUAGAUUAUAUUCCCAAAAAAAGAUUAUGUUCCCACAUACUUCAAUUUCGCACAAGACAUUUAAAAUAUCAUGGACAAUUUUAAUGGGAGAGAAUUUAGAUCUGACACAAAUAGAAUCAUCAUCUGAUCCAAACUAACAAUCAAUAUUGUUUAAUGUAAUUAACGACCCAAUUUUCAUAUUAUUAGUGUUCGUGUGUUAAACUAUUUUAAUUAAGUUAAUAACUUGAGUCAUUUAUCGAGUAUUUUAGUUAUUAAGCGAGUAGUGAGAGUUAACGUGUUAUUGGGUCAAGCCAUUGCGCUUGAGGCCCAAUGGGCCUUGUGUGGGAGUGUGGGGCGCCCAUAUGGCCAAGAGGGAGAGAGAAAUUCAUUAUUUCUCUUUUGUUCUUGAAGAUAGAGAGAAGGAAGAGAGCUUGAGAGCUAGGGCAAGAGGAAAGCAAGGGAUUCGAGAUCGAUCGUCGUGUUUUCUUCGAAUCCAGGUAUGAGAGUAGGUUCCAUAAUCGUGGGUGACUCGAGAAAGGGGAGAACUUCCUCCACCCCAUUUUCGUUUUAGCUUGGAAUGGAUUUUCUUGAUGGAAAUCGUUCCUAAGGUUCUUAACAUGCUUAACAUGCUUUUAACAUGAUGAAUGAACGAAUUUAAUGGUUAAAAACGAGUUUUAUGAAAGAUUAAACUCAAGAACUUUGUGUUCUUGAGAGUUUUGAAGAAAAAGUGAUCAAUCCUUACUUUUUCGAUGUUUAUGAUAUAGAUCUAAGAAAUGAACUGUUCUUUUGUGUUUAUCCAUGUUUGUUAUGCUUGAAAACAAACUCUUUUGGGAUUUAUAACAUGAAAAAUGAUAUUUUUGGGUGAUUGGAGUGGAAAAACGCAGGUUUUGAACUUUCCUGUCAGGAGGCGCUCGCUAGGCCUUCGCCCAGCGAACGUGUGGCGAACAGCUCGCCACGAGUAGGUGAUCCACUGGUGUGGUUCGCUGAGAAAUAAUGAAUUUCUCUCUCCCUCUUG